This 319-nucleotide long non-coding RNA is filed under the name Musa acuminata (dwarf banana). RNAcentral's name for it is "long non-coding RNA (MACU_LNC008063)". Lineage: Eukaryota; Viridiplantae; Streptophyta; Magnoliopsida; Zingiberales; Musaceae. The record is from RNAcentral.
AAAUUUUCAAAAUGCAUUCCCUUUUUAGUUGUUUCGAUUUAUGUGGUUUGAUAUCUUACAAGCAUGCCCAAGUUUUUUUUUUUACGCUAAAUCAAAACAUGCAUCAACGUUUAAAACGGAAAAAGAACUUUUAUUAUGGCAAAGAUCGACAAGCCAUUAAUCACAAUAAUCAUCAUGCCUAAUUUUGAAAUAUUAACUCAUUAAGCAUAAUCAUUAAACAUGAUUUCAUAAAGCAUUUUCAAUCAAAAUCGAAAAUCAUCAAUUUAGAUACAUAUUAUUUUUUCUUAAAAACAUACAUAGGAUUAAUUGUUAGAUUUAA